This is a long non-coding RNA of Carya illinoinensis, 744 nucleotides long. RefSeq lists it as uncharacterized. The record is from RefSeq and is a predicted model, not a curated record. NCBI's taxonomy places the organism in Eukaryota, Viridiplantae, Streptophyta, Magnoliopsida, Fagales, Juglandaceae. The transcript has 3 exons.
AUUUGACCAAAAAGUAAUUAAGUCCAUAUCCCUUGAACCCUUUGGCUUCUAAGGCAAAAAAGGAAGAAAAAAUUUCUCAAGCUCUCAAGCCCUCAACCGUGCGACACUACCCUCUUUCUCUCCCAUUUUCUUUCUCUUUCCAAUAUUAAGCCAAGCACCCAUUAUUUCUUCUUCUCAAGAGGAAAAUAGCAAGCCAAGGGUUCGUGUGCUCUCUAGUUUCCCAAGUUGAACCCACCUUUCCUCUUCUCCAUUUUCGUGUUUUGGGAAGGGAUUCACCAAGGUAUAUACCAAGGUAAUGAUGAAUAGGCUGGGGAGCAAGGCAUUACUGCGGAGGGAGAGGCAGAAGCUUAGUGUCUUCCUUGUUGGUUCGACAUUACAUAGAUGAUUGGUUAUGUUUAUGGAUGAAUGUUUAAAUAGAAUAUCUAUCAGGUGUUGCCCUUUAUUAAAUUAAAAAUUUAGAGCACACAUGUGAUAUAUUUAUGCUUAUCACAUAUUACUAGAAAAGAAAAGAAGAAGAAAAAAAAAAAUAGGUUAAGUAGCGAUUCCACCCUUUCCAAGGCGGGGGGUUGUUACAUGGGGCGUGCCAUCAGCUAUGGAGGCUAAUAAGAAGAUUUCCUUUGAAAGAGCCUACCAGUCUGGUGGCCUUGCAUUGUGUUAGGUAUUACAAUUUGAAUUUGGAAAAUGAUGUAUGAAGACUUUCAGGUGUUAUUCCGCAUUCAUAAGAAUUUUUAGUUUUAGAUUAAA